RNAcentral lists this ribosomal RNA (253 nucleotides) under uncultured bacterium. RNAcentral describes it as "partial 16S ribosomal RNA". It matches the Rfam family "Bacterial small subunit ribosomal RNA", at positions 524 to 776 of the family's 1533-position model. The record is from RNAcentral.
UACAGAUGGGGCAAGCGUUGUUCGGAAUUACUGGGCGUAAAGGGCGCGUAGGCGGCCUUCUAAGUCGAACGUGAAAUCCCCGGGCUCAACCCGGGAACUGCGUCCGAUACUGGAAGGCUUGAAUCCGGGAGAGGGAUGUGGAAUUCCAGGUGUAGCGGUGAAAUGCGUAGAUAUCUGGAGGAACACCGGUGGCGAAGGCGACAUCCUGGACCGGUAUUGACGCUGAGGCGCGAAAGCCAGGGGAGCAAACGGG